RNAcentral lists this ribosomal RNA (494 nucleotides) under uncultured bacterium. RNAcentral describes it as "partial 16S ribosomal RNA". It matches the Rfam family "Bacterial small subunit ribosomal RNA", at positions 28 to 507 of the family's 1533-position model. The record is from RNAcentral.
GACGAACGCUGGCGGCGCGCUUAACACAUGCAAGUCGAACGGAAAGGCCUGCUUUCCCUCGUGGAUUGCGGGUACUCGAGUGGCGAACGGGUGAGUAACACGUGAGUGAUCUGCCCCCAACUUGGGUAUAAGCCUGGGAAACUGGGUCUAAUUCCCGAUAGGACUGCAGGGUGGUGCCCGUGGUGGAAAACGAUUUUCUAGUGGUUGGGGAUGAGCUCGCGGCCUAUCAGCUUGUUGGUGGGGUAAUGGCCUACCAAGGCGGCGACGGGUAGCCGGCCUGAGAGGGUGGACGGCCACAUUGGGACUGAGAUACGGCCCAGACUCCUACGGGAGGCAGCAGUGGGGAAUAUUGCACAAUGGGCGGAAGCCUGAUGCAGCGACGCCGCGUGGGGGAUGACGGCCUUCGGGUUGUAAACUCCUUUCGACCGCGAGGAAGCCACCUGGUUGGAAGGGUGGUGACGGUAGUGGUAGAAGAAGCACCGGCUAACUACGUG